Macadamia integrifolia is the source of this 7002-nucleotide RNA transcript. It is a transcript of the gene named disease resistance protein RPV1-like, with no coding region annotated. The transcript is spliced from 7 exons. The record is from RefSeq and is a predicted model, not a curated record. NCBI's taxonomy places the organism in Eukaryota, Viridiplantae, Streptophyta, Magnoliopsida, Proteales, Proteaceae.
UUGAAAAUCGGAUUCCGACAACGAAAAAGUUGAGUUGUGAUCGGGAAAUUGGUAGGAACGUCCAUUCCCAGGAACGUUCAUCCCCAGGAACUUGAGGUGCUAUUAAUAUGAUAUCUCUCUCUCUCUCUCUCUCUCUCUCUUCGGAUGGUACGUAACACAUCAUUCACAUUUGGAAGGGCGAUCAACCAAAAUUUGAAAGUUAGAAUGGCAGCGACGCAUCAUCAGGUCUCUACUUCUUCUUCUUCUUCUGGUUCGAUUAGUACUACUUAUGAAGUGUUCUUGAGCUUUCACGGAGAAGAUGUUCGCAAAAAAAUCGCGGACCACCUCUACCAUGACUUGGUAAAUGUUGGAAUUCGAACAUUCAGGGACUCAGAAGAACUCCGCAUGGGAAACGAGAUUGGCCCGGAACUACUCACUGCAAUCCAGGAAUCAAGCAUCUCCAUUCCCAUCUUCUCAGAGAACUAUGCACGGAGCCAAUGGUGUCUCAAUGAGCUUACCCAGAUAUCUGAAUGCAGAGGAACGAGGGAUCAGAUCGUGUUGCCCAUUUUCUACAAAGUUGAACCAAGGGAUGUGCGAAACCAGAAAAAGAAAUAUGAGGAAGCCUUUGAGGAACACCUGCCGAAGGACUUCCACAAGAUCCAAAAGUGGAAGAAGGCUCUGAGAGAGGUCGGAGGAUUGAAAGGAUGGCAUGUCCAGGAGGAGACUUAUGAAGAGGAGUUAAUAAAAGAAGUUGUUAAUGAAGUUCGAAGUGAAUUGAACAAGAGACUCUCGAGCGUUUCUAACAAGAACCUAGUUGGAAUCCAAUCUCACAUAGAAGAAAUGUUGAAGUUAUUAGAUAUUGAAUCUGACGACAGAACAAUUGUGGGCAUUCGUGGCCUCGGUGGCAUUGGAAAGACAACAAUCGCUAGGGCUGUCUAUUAUGAAAUCUUUAAACUCUUUGAAGGUCAUUGUAGCUUUAUUGCAAAUGUUCGGGAAAGUGCUAAACAAUAUGAUGGACUCAUUCGUUUGCAAAAACAACUUGUCUCUAAUAUCCUGAAGCAAGAAGAUGAAGUUAUUGAUAGUGUGGAGGACGGAAUUUCUGUGAUUCAACAAAGAUUUCGUGCAAAAAAGGUCCUUAUUGUUCUUGAUGAUGUGGAUCAAGAUGAUCAAGCAAAGUCUUUAGUUGGGGACCUUGAAUGGUUUGGUGUUGGAAGUAAGAUCAUUAUCACAUGUAGAAAUAAGGAUAUUUUAACUGCUCGAAACGGAGCUAAGAUUUAUGAGCCCAAAGAAAUGGAUUCAGGUGAUUCUCUCCAACUUUUUAGCCAUCAUGCGUUUGGAAGGGACCAACCUCUAAAAGAUCAUUUGGAUCUCUCAAAAGCUAUAGUAAAUACUACUGGAGGACUUCCCUUGGCUCUUCAAGUUAUAGGUUCAUAUUUAUUCAAAAAGGAAAAAUCAGUAUGGGAAGGUAUGUUAAAAAAGUUGCAAGAAAUUCCCCAUCCUAAUGUUAUGAAGACAUUAAAAAUAAGUUAUGAUGGAUUAGAAUAUGCGGAGCAACAAAUGUUUCUUGAUACUGCUUGUUUUUUCAUCGGAAUGGAUAAAGAUAUUGCAUGUCACAUAUGGGAAGGAUGUAAUUUCUUUCCUAAAGUAGGACUUGAUGCUCUUUGUGUAAAGUCAUUGGUAAUGAUUAAUGAAAAAAAUGAGUUAAGAAUGCACAAUCAACUUCGGGAUCUUGGAAGGGAAAUUGUUCGUCAAGAGAACAAAGAUGAACCAGGAGAGCGUUCUCGAAUAUGGUCUCAAAAGGAAGUCUUGACUGUAAUCAAUGCAAAGAAGGGUACAAGUAAUGUUAAAGGACUCAUUAUUGACUUCAGACAUAUACCAAUGAGCCAAUGUUUGAUGAAUAAAGGACUUUCUGCAAUGACAGACCUAAGAUUACUCCAAGUUGAUUAUGCAGAAUCUUUUGGGAACUUCACCAAUUCUUUUUCAGAACUGAGAUGGCUUAGUUGGAGAGGAUGCCCUGACCAAUAUGCACUAACAAAUUUUUGCCCACAAAAAUUGGUUGUUCUUGAUCUAUCACAUAGUAAAAUAACCAAUAACUGGAUGGGUUGGAACUACAUCAAGAAGGCUACAAAUCUAAAAGUUCUGAAUCUCACAUCUUGUCAUCAACUGUCUAGUACUCCUGAGUUUUCAGCAAAUCAACUCUUGGAGAUAUUGAUUCUUAAAGGCUGUAGAAAUUUGGAUGAGAUUGACACAUCCAUUUGUUGUCUCACAAACUUGGUCAUAUUAGAUAUGGGUGAAUGCAAGACACUAAAGGGUCUCCCAAGUGAAAAUUUCCAGUUGACUUCACUUAAAAGCCUCAUUUUAACUAAAUGCUCAAGUUUGACCAGCCUUGAUUUUAGUCGCUGCAGCACUUCAUUUCGGUACAUCUCAUCAGGUCUUCCCUCCUCAAGUUUGAGCAGCCUUGAUGUUAGUUGGUGCACUUCAAUUCGAUACAUCUCAGGUCUUCCCUCGAGUUUGAUUGAACUAGAUGCUAGUGAGUGUAAGUCAAUGGUAAAACUAUCAAGUACAUCAGGAGGCUUGAAAAAUUUAAAGACAUUAAGUCUUUAUGGUUGCAAAAGCCUAGAGGAAAUUGAAGGUGUUGAUGAGAAAUUGGACUCCUUGGAGGACUUCAAUAUUGAAGGUUGCAAUUCAUUAGGAAAAUUACCAAAGUUGUCAGGGUCUAAAAAUCUAACGACUUUAAAGCUCUUUGAGAACAACCUCAUAUCUGAUUUUGAAAGUGAUGGUAUGGACUCUCUGGAGGAGUUGUAUAUAUGGAAGUGCAAAUCAUUAAGAAAAAUAGCAUAUUUGCGAGAUUCAAAAAGACUAAGGAUACUAAAAAUCAGAGACUGUCCGGAGUUAUCUGAGAUAGAGUGCCUUGAGAACUAUGAAUCUUUACAAAGAUUAUCAAUUAUUAAGGCCACAUCAUUAAAAUCAUUACCGGUGGAUAUCUUAACCGGCAUGAAUAACCUGAGCUAUCUUACAAUCAGCGGGUGCUUCUUGAUGGAAAGAUUACCACGUCUUUCAAACUUAAAAGAGUUGAGGCAAUUACAUAUUGGAGAUUGCGGAGACUGUGGAGGGAUUGAGGAUUGGGAGAGCUUAAAAGAAAUUCUAGGGCUCGACAGAUUGGAGUCCAUGCGAGAAUUGGAAAUAGCAGGAUGCAUAGGCAUUCAAAGAUUACCAGAUCUGUCAAACUUAAACAAGUUAACUUCUCUAUGCAUUAGAGGCUGCAAGAAUCUAACAGAGGAGAUUCAUGGUAUUAACAGAUUGAAAAAUUUAGAGGUUUUUGUUAUUAGUGGCUGCGAGUCCUUGGAGAGAUUACCGGAUCUGUCAAAAUUGAAAAACUUGACAAAGCUAUCAAUAAAUGGCUGUAAGAAGCUAACUGAGAUUCAAGUUAGUAAUGGGUUGGAAUCUUUGGAAGACUUGGAUGUUAGUGGGUGUAUAUCCUUGGAGAGAUUACCGGGUUUGUCAAACAUGAAAAACUUGACGAAGCUAUCAACAAAUGGCUGCAAGAACUUGACAAAGCUAUCAACAAAUGGCUGCAAGAAGCUAAUUGAGAUUCAAGCUAGUAAUGGGGUGGAAUCUUUGGAAUACUUAGAUGUUAGUGGGUGUAUAUCCUUGGAGAGAUUACCAGAUUUGUCAAACUCAAAAAACUUGUUGAACUUAUCAGCAAAUGGCUGCAAGAAGCUAACUGAGAUUCAAGCUAGUAAUGGUUUGGAAUGUUUGGAAUACUUGGAUGUUAGUGGGUGUAUAUACUUGGAGAGAUUAUCGGGUCUGUCAAACUUGAAAAACUUGACGAAACUAUUUGCAAAUUGCUGCAAGAAGCUAACUGAGAUUCAAGCUAGUAAUGGGUUGGAUUGUUUGAAAUGCUUGGAUGUUAGUGGAUGUAUAACCUUGGAGAGAUUACCGGAUCUGUCAAACUCAAAAAACUUGAUGAACCUAUCAGCAAAUGGCUGCAAGAAGCUAACUGAGAUUCAAGCUGGUAAUGGGUUGGAAUCUUUGGAAUACUUGGAUGUUAGUGGGUGUAUAUCCUUGGAGAGAUUACCGGAUCUGUCAAACUCAAAAAACUUGAUGAACCUAUCAGCAAAUGGCUGCAUGAAGCUAACUGAGAUUCAAGCUAGUAAUGGGUUGGAUUGUUUGAAAUGCUUGGAUGUUAGUGGAUGUAUAUCCUUGGAGAGAUUACCGGAUCUGUCAAACUCAAAAAACUUGAUGAACCUAUCAGCAAAUGGCUGCAAGAAGCUAACUGAGAUUCAAGCUGGUAAUGGGUUGGAAUCUUUGGAAUACUUGGAUGUUAGUGGGUGUAUAUCCUUGGAGAGAUUACCGGAUCUGUCAAACUCAAAAAACUUGAUGAACCUAUCAGCAAAUGGCUGCAUGAAGCUAACUGAGAUUCAAGCUAGUAAUGGGUUGGAAUCUUUGGAAUUCUUGGAUGUUAGUGGGUGUAUAUCCUUGGAGAGAUUACCAGAUUUUUCAAACUCAAAAAACUUGUUGAACCUAUCAGCAAAUGGCUGCAAGAAGCUAACUGAGAUUCAAGCUAGUAAUGGGUUGGAAUCUUUGGAAUACUUGGAUGUUAGUGGGUGUAUAUCCUUGGAGAGAUUACCGGGUCUGUCAAACUUGAAAAACUUGACGAAGCUAUUUGCAAAUGGCUGCAAGAAACUAGCUGAGAUUCAAGCUAGUAAUGGGUUGGAUUGUUUGAAAUACUUGGAUGUUAGUGGAUGUAUAUCCUUGGAGAGAUUACCAGAUCUGUCAAACUCAAAAAACUUGAUGAACCUAUCAGCAAAUGGCUGCAAGAAGCUAACUGAGAUUCAAGCUAGUAAUGGAUUGGAAUCUUUGGAAUACUUGGAUGUUAGUGGGUGUAUAUCCUUGGAGAGAUUACUGGAUCUGUCAAACUCGAAAAACCUAAUGGUGCUAUCAACAAAUGGCUGCAAGAAGCUAACGUACUAAGAUUCAAGUUGGUAAUGGGUUUAUUCAAGGAUUUCCAUCUUAGUGAAUGGAGGACCGGUGGGACUUUCUGAAGUUGGUGGAGGUUUGAGGCAGGGUGAUCCUAUUUCUCCCAUUUUAUUUAUUUUGGCAAAGGAGGUCCUUUGUAGAGGCUUGAAGUCUAUGGUUAGAGAAGGAAAGCUAAAGCCACUUCCAGGUCCUAGAGGGUUUUGUAGGUGACCAUCUAUGAUUGUUACCUAAGGAAAUCACAUCCUUGAAAGGUUUUUGAUGUGGAAAAGAACAAGGAGAGGCCAGUAAGUGCACAGCAGCUGGUUAAGUUCACCCUCCUUUCGAUUGGCUGCUCAACUGUCAAGUGCCCUUACAAAAGACACCCCAUGCAGAUUUGUCUAAGGUGUUGCAGGAAAAUCAAUCAAAGUAAUAUCCAAGGCAUCUAUUCCAGUUAAUGCAUUAUACCAUCCUGAUAGGAGUGGGGACUGGUAGCAGAAAUGAUUUUUUUCUUUGGUGCAUGGUGUGAGUAGAUGAUGGAGGUUCUGUUAAACAAUCUUCUGUUCUUACAUUUGAUUCUCUCUAGACUGUAUCUUGAUGGCUAUCCAAAACAUUGUUGGUUGUGAAAUUCUGAGUUAUAGAGAAGGGGCAUCAUCUUGCUUGCCUAAAACAGAAGCUUCUCCCUAAAACAGAAGCUGAAUUAUACACCUUGGAUAUGAUUUUAGAAAUUACAGUGGCUGCUGUAACUCUGUUCAUUCUGCAAAUUUCAUAUUUCUCAGACAUAAAAAACUUAUAGGACUCACUUUUCUAAGGUACCUACGAUCAAUGCAAAGAGAACUUGACUCCAAUUACAUAAAAGUGAAUUGUGCUCUAUCUGAUAAAUUUGUAGGUGGCUGGUCGAACAUGAGAAGUUGUCCUUAGGAUUGACAGAUGGAGGUUUGCAAGGUUUGCUUAGAGCUUCAGCUGAAGUGUUGGCAAUAGAUCUUUGGUGUUCUUAUAUGGCUGUUUUGACUACUGAGAAAGCCAUGGUUGUGAACAAAUUGGGCUGGGAAGAAUUUGAAGAGCACAUGAGAAGGUCUGGGAGAUUGGUAAAAACUUUGGCUCUGGUCCUUGGACAGUGCAGGUAAUGGGAAAACACUUGCCAAGUGCUAGAUGAUGGUUUGAUCCCAAGCUACUUCUGUUGGUGGUUCUUAUAAGUCAUACACUCAUGCUCAUCUGUAUCCCACCACCAUGGCAGAGUUUUGUUGCUGUAUAUCACCUGUUUUGCUAGAUGUCUCCUCUUCCAUCCUCCUCAUCUUCUAUUUUUUCAGGUAUUUUUUUUUCAUUGGCAAAGGCUUCUUUUAGAAGAACUUCUAAUCCUUUUUCCCUCUGAGACUCAUUCCAAGUUGAGAGAGAUCAGCUUUUGUGCCAUGGCACCUGGUUUUUUACGAUGGAAAUCUUAUUUCAUCUAAUUGUUAAAGUUUGUUAGAGGUAACAAACUUGAAGUUUAUUGUAACAGUUUUUCUGCGUGGAUUGAUCAUUAGGCAAUCACAGAUUCCAUCAAUAUUAUUCUUCCACUGGCACUAAAUUUGAAUUAUUCAUUGGCUGGACAUCAAUGACGUUAACUGUCCACUGUGACUCUGUGACCAGACAAUUGAAGCUAGUGUUGUUGCUACCUGGGAAGUCUUUUCCAAGGUUUCGAUCUGCAAAUUUGAUUGGUGUGAUGUCUUACUUCACUGUCUGGGGCUGACAUAAUUCACAUUCUGUUGGUAAUCCCUAAUAUCAUUGUGGAUCAUAUGGCAGUUUUCAUUAUUUGGGUGUAAAGAAAAGAAUGGGGACAGUUUACAUUUACUUAAGAGGCAACUCAUAUUAUUGUUAUUCCAUUGUCAUUGGCCUCUUGUUUGGUUAGACAGUCAAGUUGUAAUUUCAGUCUCAAAAGGUAUGUGAGGAAGUGAAAUGUCUUGUCUGUACAUAUAUAUGGAAAUACACUUCUACCAUGUCACUGAUAUUGUGCAUGUAUGAUUUGAAAUAGUUUGUCAUUGACAUUUAUGUUGCUAGUUAUUAUCUAUUCUCAGAUUGAGGCACUUC